CCACAAUGGGCGCAAGCCUGAUGGAGCAACACCGCGUGAGUGAAGAAGGUUUCGGCUCGUAAAGCUCUGUUGUUAAAGAAGAACACGUAUGAGAGUAACUGUUCAUACGUUGACGGUAUUUAACCAGAAAGUCACGGCUAACUACGUGCCAGCAGCCGCGGUAAUACGUAGGUGGCAAGCGUUAUCCGGAUUUAUUGGGCGUAAAGAGAGUGCAGGCGGUUUUCUAAGUCUGAUGUGAAAGCCUUCGGCUUAACCGGAGAAGUGCAUCGGAAACUGGAUAACUUGAGUGCAGAAGAGGGUAGUGGAACUCCAUGUGUAGCGGUGGAAUGCGUAGAUAUAUGGAAGAACACCAGUGGCGAAGGCGGCUACCUGGUCUGCAACUGACGCUGAGACUCGAAAGCAUGGGUAGCGAACAGGAUUAGAUACCCUGGUAG
Molecule: ribosomal RNA, 434 nt
Filed under: uncultured bacterium
Lineage: Bacteria
Description: bacterial SSU rRNA
Rfam family: Bacterial small subunit ribosomal RNA
Source: RNAcentral